AACAGAGAUCUCUACCUAUAACCAGGCUGGAGGUGUAUUGCACUCUCAAUACUUUCUCAUUAAAUUCACCUUUAUCGACUUUCUUAAAGUAACUUUGUCUUAAGCAAGCUUUGCUCUUUCUUAACGUCUUUCUUAUUUCCUUGCAGCUCAUCAUAUCACCGAACUGAGUUCUUUUUCCUCUAAGAAAAAAUUUCAGUGCAAUUCAGAAGUCUUCAUAACAUAGUAAUCUAUAGCUAAUUCAGAGGUGCCAUGCCCUGCCACCCCUAUAAAGAGACUUCAACUAGUUCAUUCGGCUCCCGAAGAGUUCUAGAGCCACCAUAAAAGAUGAGGAGGGAUGACAUAGCCCCAGAGCCAGAGAUGGAGAAAGAGAAAGGCCAAGUUGUGGGGUGGAGAAUACAGUGAAUUCCCUAUCUGACCUUGCU
This 422-nucleotide long non-coding RNA is filed under the name Struthio camelus australis. RNAcentral describes it as "lncRNA (ENSSCUG00000016093.1)". The record is from RNAcentral. Lineage: Eukaryota; Metazoa; Chordata; Aves; Struthioniformes; Struthionidae.